RNAcentral lists this ribosomal RNA (430 nucleotides) under uncultured Gemmatimonadota bacterium. Its description in RNAcentral is "bacterial SSU rRNA". It matches the Rfam family "Bacterial small subunit ribosomal RNA", at positions 355 to 776 of the family's 1533-position model. Lineage: Bacteria; Pseudomonadati; Gemmatimonadota. The record is from RNAcentral.
UAGGGAAUAUUGCGCAAUGGUCGAAAGACUGACGCAGCGACGCCGCGUGUGGGAGGAAGCCCCUCGGGGUGUAAACCACUGUCAGGGGGGACGAACGGCGCACGUUCGAAUAGGGCGUGCGUUUGACGGUACCCUCAGAGGAAGCGCCGGCUAACUCCGUGCCAGCAGCCGCGGUAAGACGGAGGGCGCAAGCGUUGUUCGGAAUUACUGGGCGUAAAGCGCGGGCAGGUGGUCUGUUAAGUCUUUUGUGAAACUCCGGGGCUCAACUCCGGACAUGCAGAAGAUACUGGCGGACUGGAGACCGGUAGAGGCUAGCGGAAUUCCUGGUGUAGCGGUGGAAUGUGUAGAUAUCAGGAAGAACACCGGUGGCGAAGGCGGCUGGCUGGGCCGUGUCUGACACUCAUCCGCGAAAGCGUGGGGAGCAAACAGG